UAUCUUGUUAUAAUAAGAGAUAAGGUAUCCAAACUGUAUUUAUGACUCUUUAUAAAUAUAGAGACUAACCUGUUUCUUUUUCAACAGAUUAGAUACUGUAGUUACAGUCAAAGCACCCCUGGUAAAGUCAUCUAGGCCUGCUGAUUGAGACAGCACUGUUGCUGUACUUAUACUGCGCAAAGGACUGUUUGGAGCAGUUAACCUACAGGUGAUACGAACUGAAGAUAAGGUGGAGUGGGGAGUGGAUGUCUCCAUAGUCAUAUGCUUAUAUACAAUGUAAUACUGCAUUUCAAAAUCUAUGAUUUUAUCUUGGAAGUAUGAAUGCUGCGGGCGACCUUUCAGUUUUCAAGAGCAUGGUGAUCAGACUUGAGUCUCUUUAUUAUGAGUGUAUUUAUAUUUAUUUAUUCGAGAUUUGAGAAGUAUGUUUUCGAAGAAGUCUUUAAUAUAAAGAGUCUCUUUAGAAGUCUGUAACUAAUAGAAGUCUAUUUAAAAUGCUUUAUUUUAGUUGGUAUUACCAAAAA
Molecule: long non-coding RNA, 521 nt
Organism: Ipomoea nil (Japanese morning glory)
Lineage: Eukaryota; Viridiplantae; Streptophyta; Magnoliopsida; Solanales; Convolvulaceae
Exons: 2
Source: RefSeq, a predicted model, not a curated record